GCCUGGGUGGCUCAGUCGGUUGAGCAUCUGACUUCGGCUCAGGUCGUGAUCUUGCGGUCUGUGAGUUCGAGCCCUGCGUCAGGCU
RNAcentral lists this transfer RNA (85 nucleotides) under Felis catus (domestic cat). It matches the Rfam family "tRNA". From Rfam's summary of the family: Transfer RNA (tRNA) molecules are approximately 80 nucleotides in length. Their secondary structure includes four short double-helical elements and three loops (D, anti-codon, and T loops). Lineage: Eukaryota; Metazoa; Chordata; Mammalia; Carnivora; Felidae. The record is from Rfam by way of RNAcentral.